GAGAUAAGAAACCACAGCGUGAGCUUCAGAGCGGUUCAGACACAACCAGAAAGAGAAGGAAGUGAAGAGAAACAGCAAGGAAGAGGAGGUCUCACGUGGAAAAGAGCACAGGACACCUGGGGACAAGGAGACGUCAUCUGGUGCACCUGGGACUCAGAGGGAGAAGAAAGAAGACAGAAGCUAACUGAGGAGAAUGGCCAAGGGCUCCACAAUGGACAGAUGCUAUCCCGCAGUGCCACAGCUGCCAGGCAGGUCUGAGCAAGUCCCCAAGAGCCAGCAGCAGAGAGGGCACUGCUGCCAGGUGGCGGAACCCAUCAGGGGCACUCUCCUCGCCUGGACCACAGGGCCUGACCAGCAGC
RNAcentral lists this long non-coding RNA (359 nucleotides) under Ictidomys tridecemlineatus (thirteen-lined ground squirrel). RNAcentral describes it as "lncRNA (ENSSTOG00000031252.1)". Lineage: Eukaryota; Metazoa; Chordata; Mammalia; Rodentia; Sciuridae. The record is from RNAcentral.